Molecule: ribosomal RNA, 194 nt
Filed under: Salmonella enterica subsp. enterica serovar Infantis
Lineage: Bacteria; Pseudomonadati; Pseudomonadota; Gammaproteobacteria; Enterobacterales; Enterobacteriaceae
Also listed under: 14 other names
Description: partial 16S ribosomal RNA
Rfam family: Bacterial small subunit ribosomal RNA
Source: RNAcentral
AAAUUGAAGAGUUUGAUCAUGGCUCAGAUUGAACGCUGGCGGCAGGCCUAACACAUGCAAGUCGAACGGUAACAGGAAGCAGCUUGCUGCUUUGCUGACGAGUGGCGGACGGGUGAGUAAUGUCUGGGAAACUGCCUGAUGGAGGGGGAUAACUACUGGAAACGGUGGCUAAUACCGCAUAACGUCGCAAGACC